AUGCUUAUAGAGUUAUUCCAAGGUGUGGCAGUUGAUGGAUCGUCAGCUUAUGUGCCCGUAGAUGAAGAGGAAGAAGAAUAUGAUGCUGCCGAUGAUGGACACGAGCAGAGUCCAAUGAGCACCACCAGCAGGAAGAGGGGAAGCAGCGGCACUGAACAGUCAGCAACAAGCCCAGGCAAGAAACACAAGAGCCCAAUGGUGAAACUAAUGACAGGGCUGAUCAACAGUAUCAAUAGUGAUAACACAUCUGAGAUGAUCACUGAAUAUGCAAACAAAAGGAAGGAAGCAAAGGACAAGGCAAGAGAGAAGAAAUCAAACAGCACAAAGGAGAGCAUUACUCGUUGUCAAAAGUUGGCGGUUCAAUGUGGUGCAGAAGAAACAAGUGUCGAGUACUUCAUGGCAACUCAACUGUUUGCAGAUGAGGCAAACAGAGUCAUAUUUGAGAACAUUACAAGUGAUGAUGCUAGACUGACUUGGUUGAAGAGGUGGUGCAUGAUGAAGAAGUUGUCCUAG
RNAcentral lists this ribosomal RNA (513 nucleotides) under Triticum aestivum (bread wheat). Its description in RNAcentral is "partial small subunit ribosomal RNA". The record is from RNAcentral. Lineage: Eukaryota; Viridiplantae; Streptophyta; Magnoliopsida; Poales; Poaceae.